This 468-nucleotide ribosomal RNA is filed under the name uncultured bacterium. RNAcentral's name for it is "bacterial SSU rRNA". It matches the Rfam family "Bacterial small subunit ribosomal RNA", at positions 34 to 518 of the family's 1533-position model. The record is from RNAcentral.
CGCUGGCGGCGUGCCUAACACAUGCAAGUCGAGCGAGGAGAUCCUUCGGGAUGAUCCUAGCGGCGGACGGGUGAGUAACACGUGGGCAACCUGCCUCAUAGAGAGGAAUAGCCUUCCGAAAGGGAGAUUAAUACCUCAUAACAUUGCAGUUUCGCAUGGAACAGCAAUUAAAGGAGCAAUCCACUAUGAGAUGGGCCCGCGGCGCAUUAGCUAGUUGGUGAGGUAACGGCUCACCAAGGCGACGAUGCGUAGCCGACCUGAGAGGGUGAUCGGCCACAUUGGGACUGAGACACGGCCCAGACUCCUACGGGAGGCAGCAGUGGGGAAUAUUGCACAAUGGGGGAAACCCUGAUGCAGCAAACCGCCGCGUGAGUGAUGACGGCCUUCGGGUUGUAAAGCUCUGUCUUCAGGGACGAUGAUGACGGUACCUGAGGAGGAAGCCACGGCUAACUACGUGCCAGCAGCAGC